GAGACGUCCAACCUUUCAUUUGGUGGACCCUUUGGCUUUCUCAAAAUGGAUUCACCGACUCCAACACAAAGUCCCAUAACCCAAACUAAGACGAGCCAUUCUGGUUUAGUCACGCAAUCUUCUGCUUCACAGGCUGAGCUGCACGAAACUCAAACACACCAGCUGGUUACAAAAAGUAAAUUAUACCAAUCCUACCAUGAGCCAACCUCAACCCAGAUUUCUCAAACCAAACACGAGCACCAAGGUCAACAUCUACACCAGAAAACACAUCUGCAGCCUUCAUCAACCAUCUCACAAAUAUCUAAAUCUGAUCCUCAUCAAACAUUUGCUCAAAGUCUUUUUCCAAAGUUCCAUCUUGAGUUGUCGACAAUCCCGCAGUAUCUGCCGUCCACACAACUUCCAACUUCUCCAGUCUCAAAGCCUCAACAAUACCAACUUCACAGUCAACCAAAUUCAACCAUGUCUACACUUCCUCAAUCAUCUCCAACACAACAUCCACUGCUCCACUCACAAUCUCCUCUACCACACACAAAAACGUUUCCGCUCCAACACAGAAAUCAGACUUCCAUCUCAACCAUCCAGCAGACCAAUGAUCCUUCAACUCUGGACCCUGAGAUUCCUGUUGUCCAUCGGGUCAACAUGUCCGGCCAGGUACAGCUAAAUACUAGCCAGUUAGGUGACCCAGUUAAAUCAGCCAAAUCAGGCAAUGACACAGAGCUUACUGAAUCGCUGAAGAGGAACACCUCCCAAUCACCUAUGACCAGCAAUGAUCCCAGAGUAACACAGCAGUCUCCAUCAUGGCUGCCCUUGCUGGAGAAACAUGACAUCCCCAUCGUGGUGGGAGUGGGUGUAUCUCUGGCCUUCAUCUUCAUCACUGUUACAUUCUAUUCAGUAGUCCAGAAGAACGAAGCUGCACCAACAAGCCGAGCAGGUCAGAGAUCCUCAGCAGCAUCAAAUGUCAGCACACCUAUUUCACAUUCUGAUCAUGGUAAACUUCCCACAAAUCCUUAUUCUUCAAGAAAUAGUUUGACAUUUUGGGAAAUAUACUUAUUCUCUUUAAAUAUGAAAAUUGAUACCACUCUCGUGUCUAUUUGUUUAAGGGGAACCUCAUUCACUUAAUAAUACUGCAAAUGUGGAAAAAAAACGUGUAUCAAGUAUUUUGUGGUUGCAGAUAAAUAAAGAAGACUACAAGUUUGAAAAUAAAAGGAAUCUGAGGGUGUGCAGAAAGAAAUAAGUGAGGUCACCAGACCUCUGUGGCCCGCUCCUCACCUGCUUCAGAAUAGAGGCUCUAGACUACAUUAGCCGUUUACUAGCAUAACACUCCAGAACUGUUGGCUGUCCAGUUGCAUUGUUGGUAAUGUAGUUUACAUGUUUCUGUUGUAUCAAUUUUCUUUUCUUUAGUUUGAACUGUUCAUAGUUAGUUCAACAAUGUUAUAUUCGAUGCUUUACUAAAUUGGCG
RNAcentral lists this long non-coding RNA (1459 nucleotides) under Cottoperca gobio. Its description in RNAcentral is "lncRNA (ENSCGOG00000015838.1)". The record is from RNAcentral. Lineage: Eukaryota; Metazoa; Chordata; Actinopteri; Perciformes; Bovichtidae.